GACGAACGCUGGCGGCGUGCUUAACACAUGCAAGUCGAACGGAAAGGCCCUGCUUUUGUGGGGUGCUCGAGUGGCGAACGGGUGAGUAACACGUGAGUAACCUGCCCUUGACUUUGGGAUAACUUCAGGAAACUGGGGCUAAUACCGGAUAGGAGCUCCUGCUGCAUGGUGGGGGUUGGAAAGUUUCGGCGGUUGGGGAUGGACUCGCGGCUUAUCAGCUUGUUGGUGGGGUAGUGGCUUACCAAGGCUUUGACGGGUAGCCGGCCUUGGAGGGUGACCGGCCACAUUGGGACUGAGAUACGGCCCAGACUCCUACGGGAGGCAGCAGUGGGGAAUAUUGCACAAUGGGCGGAAGCCUGAUGCAGCAACGCCGCGGGCGGGAUGACGGCCUGCGGGUUGCAAACCGCUUUCGCCUGUGACGAAGCGUGAGUGACGGUAAUGGGUAAAGAAGCACCGGCUAACUACGCG
RNAcentral lists this ribosomal RNA (468 nucleotides) under uncultured bacterium. Its description in RNAcentral is "partial 16S ribosomal RNA". It matches the Rfam family "Bacterial small subunit ribosomal RNA", at positions 28 to 507 of the family's 1533-position model. The record is from RNAcentral.